RNAcentral lists this unclassified non-coding RNA (262 nucleotides) under Hevea brasiliensis (rubber tree). Lineage: Eukaryota; Viridiplantae; Streptophyta; Magnoliopsida; Malpighiales; Euphorbiaceae. The record is from RNAcentral.
GCAAAUGGAAAAGAAUCGAAUAAACAAGGAUGGUGAGCUUGUGAUUUCUUCGACAAAGACUAGAACCCAAAAGGGUAACGUUGAAGAUGCUUUAGCAAAGCUGCAGGCCAUCAUUGAUGCUGCUGCUUAUGUUCCUCCUCCUCCUUCAGAAGAGCAAAAGAAGAAAAUUGCCAAAAUGGCUGCUAUAGGGGAGCAGAAACGACUUAAAAGUAAGAAGGCUCUUUCAGACAAGAAGGCUUUUAGAAGAAGUAGGGACAGCUGG